UACGUAGGGGGCAAGCGUUGUCCGGAAUCAUUGGGCGGAAAGAGCGUGUAGGCGGCCCGGUAAGUCCGCUGUGAAAGUCCAGGGCUCAACCCUGGAAAGCCGGUGGAUACUGCCGGGCUAGAGUCCGGAAGAGGCGAGUGGAAUUCCUGGUGUAGCGGUGGAAUGCGCAGAUAUCAGGAGGAACACCAAAGGCGAAGGCAGCUCGCUGGGACGGUACUGACGCUGAGACGCGAAAGCGUGGGGAGCAAACAGG
This 253-nucleotide ribosomal RNA is filed under the name uncultured bacterium. RNAcentral's name for it is "partial 16S ribosomal RNA". It matches the Rfam family "Bacterial small subunit ribosomal RNA", at positions 524 to 776 of the family's 1533-position model. The record is from RNAcentral.